Molecule: transfer RNA, 65 nt
Filed under: Cavia porcellus (domestic guinea pig)
Lineage: Eukaryota; Metazoa; Chordata; Mammalia; Rodentia; Caviidae
Rfam family: tRNA
About the family: Transfer RNA (tRNA) molecules are approximately 80 nucleotides in length.
Source: Rfam by way of RNAcentral
GGUGUAGCCCGGUGGUAGAGCACUUGCCUAGUGUGCAAAAGGCCCUGGGUUCCAUCCCCAGCACC